UUAAUUGAAACCAAAUAGAGGUAUAUUAUUGUUAAUAAUAAAAUUGAAUUCUAAUUCCAAUUAGA
Molecule: transfer RNA, 65 nt
Filed under: Acraea epaea
Lineage: Eukaryota; Metazoa; Arthropoda; Insecta; Lepidoptera; Nymphalidae
Description: tRNA-Asn
Source: RNAcentral